GGAAUAUUGGACAAUGGCCGGAAGGCUGAUCCAGCCAUGCCGCGUGCGGGAAGACGGCCCUAUGGGUUGUAAACCGCUUUUGUUGGGGAGCAAUAAGGAGCACGUGUGCUUCGAUGAGAGUACCCAGCGAAUAAGCAUCGGCUAACUCCGUGCCAGCAGCCGCGGUAAUACGGAGGAUGCGAGCGUUAUCCGGAUUUAUUGGGUUUAAAGGGUGCGUAGGCGGACUUUUAAGCGUGAGGUGAAAUGCGCGGGCUCAACCUGUGAACUGCCUCGCGAACUGGGAGUCUUGAAUGUCCGUGCCGUGGGAGGAAUGUGUGGUGUAGCGGUGAAAUGCAUAGAGAUCACACAGAACACCGAUUGCGAAGGCAUCUCACGAACGGAUGAUUGACGCUGAGGCACGAAAGCGUGGGGAUCAAACA
This 419-nucleotide ribosomal RNA is filed under the name uncultured bacterium. RNAcentral describes it as "bacterial SSU rRNA". It matches the Rfam family "Bacterial small subunit ribosomal RNA", at positions 358 to 774 of the family's 1533-position model. The record is from RNAcentral.